CCCGCCGGCGACCGGCGCACGGGUGAGUAACACGUAUGAAACCUGCCCGUAGCAGGGGGAUAAGCGGAAGAAAUUCCGUCUAAUACCGCGUAACAACCCAUGGAGGCAUCUCUGUGGGUUUAAAGGAAGCGAUUCCGGCUACGGAUGGUCAUGCGUCGCAUUAGCUUGUUGGCGGGGUAACGGCCCACCAAGGCGACGAUGCGUAGGGGUUCUGAGAGGAAGGCCCCCCACACUGGGACUGAGACACGGCCCAGACUCCUACGGAAGGCAGCAG
RNAcentral lists this ribosomal RNA (274 nucleotides) under uncultured bacterium. Its description in RNAcentral is "partial 16S ribosomal RNA". It matches the Rfam family "Bacterial small subunit ribosomal RNA", at positions 84 to 354 of the family's 1533-position model. The record is from RNAcentral.